This 254-nucleotide ribosomal RNA is filed under the name uncultured bacterium. RNAcentral's name for it is "partial 16S ribosomal RNA". It matches the Rfam family "Bacterial small subunit ribosomal RNA", at positions 524 to 776 of the family's 1533-position model. The record is from RNAcentral.
CACGUAGGGGGCGAGCGUUGUCCGGAAUCAUUGGGCGUAAAGAGCUCGUAGGCGGCUCGGUAAGUCGGGUGUGAAACCCCCAGGCUCAACCUGGGGACGCCACCCGAUACUGCUGUGGCUAGAGUCCAGUAGGGGAGUGUGGAAUUCCCGGUGUAGCGGUGAAAUGCGCAGAUAUCGGGAGGAACACCAGCGGCGAAGGCGGGUUGCUGGGCUGAUACUGACGCUGAGGCGCGAAAGCCAGGGGAGCGAACGGG